RNAcentral lists this long non-coding RNA (247 nucleotides) under Panax ginseng (ginseng). Its description in RNAcentral is "long non-coding RNA (PGIN_LNC013385)". Lineage: Eukaryota; Viridiplantae; Streptophyta; Magnoliopsida; Apiales; Araliaceae. The record is from RNAcentral.
GCACUAUUCACGUAUACGGCACUAUUCACGAAUACAGCACUAUUCACCGAAAAAUAAAAUUUUUUCUUUUUGUCCAAAAUAUCUAUUCUGGAUACUAGCUUUGAUUGUAUCCAUGUUUUGAUCAUUCUUGAAUUUUACACCAAUAUGAUUAUUUUCGAAGUAUUUUUGGACAUGGGUAAAACAAAGUACGAAUCCUUAAUCCUUAAUCCUUGUCAUUUUGUUUCACUGGAUUCGUUUCUUUAAAAAU